RNAcentral lists this ribosomal RNA (375 nucleotides) under uncultured bacterium. RNAcentral's name for it is "bacterial SSU rRNA". It matches the Rfam family "Bacterial small subunit ribosomal RNA", at positions 524 to 898 of the family's 1533-position model. The record is from RNAcentral.
UACGUAGGGGGCAAGCGUUGUCCGGAAUCAUUGGGCGUAAAGGGCGCGUAGGCGGGCAUAUAAGUCUGAUGUGAAAGUGCGGUGCUUAACACCGUAAAGCAUUGGAAACUGUAUGUCUUGAGGACAGGAGAGGAAAGUGGAAUUCCACGUGUAGCGGUGAAAUGCGUAGAGAUGUGGAGGAACACCAGUGGCGAAGGCGACUUUCUGGACUGUAACUGACGCUGAGGCGCGAAAGCGUGGGGAGCGAACAGGAUUAGAUACCCUGGUAGUCCACGCCGUAAACGAUGAGUGCUAGGUGUAGAGGGUAUCGACCCCUUCUGUGCCGCAGUUAACACAAUAAGCACUCCGCCUGGGGAGUACGGCCGCAAGGUUGAA